UCAUGGAGACGGCUCUUCCAGAGAUCUGGACUGACAACCUGCAGCAGGGCCAAACUCUACGCACAGGUCCAAACUCAACAGCCAAUAGCAUUAUGGCAUCAUUUCAGCAGCAGAAACCCGCUGUGCCUCAGCACGACACAGAAGCCCUGACUGUGCCGAAGAUGAGGAUCGGUGUCAAGUGGAAACUCAGCAUUCUCAAAUAGUUUGCAUGUGUCUCUGGGCUUGCUUUUUUUUUGUUGUUGGUUAUUUUAUGCAAAUAAAAUGUAUUUUAUGGGAUAUUAUGAAGUAAUUAAAAUUCAUAAAUUACUUACAGUCUUCUGAGUUUUUCUCAUAGCUGUAGUUCACAAUCAUAUUUAGUCUCUGAAACUAAGAGCAAAGUGUAAGAAUGUGUGACUCUCUACGUUUCUUGUUAAAACCCAUAAUCCAAACUAACCCAUGUUCCAUUUGUUUUGUUAGGUUUAAAUAAUUUUUUUUAAUAUUUGCAGGAGAUUAAUAUCUUAAUUUGCAUCAUAGGGGCCUGUCACUGUUGAAUGGCUGUAUUUACUCAUUUCAUUCCUACAAGUUGAAAAUAAAAAUUAAUCAAUACUGGCCUUC
This is a long non-coding RNA of Sinocyclocheilus grahami, 594 nucleotides long. RefSeq lists it as uncharacterized. The transcript is spliced from 3 exons. Lineage: Eukaryota; Metazoa; Chordata; Actinopteri; Cypriniformes; Cyprinidae. The record is from RefSeq and is a predicted model, not a curated record.